UACUGUUAAGCUGGAUCAUCUCGUCCUUGUCUGAGAACAUCCUACCAUCUGUGGUAGGAAUGGCGUCGUCAAGUGCCAUCUGGAAAUCCCUGGAGACCGCGUAUGGACGCCCAUCGGAAUCUCGGAUCAUUCAACUGCAAAUGCAGUUUCACAAUCUGAGAAAGGUUGACACGGACGACAUCUCGGCGUAUCUUCGACGUGCCAAGUUACUGGCAGAUGAGCUAAAAGCCGCGGGCGCACCCAUUCCGACAAG
This 253-nucleotide long non-coding RNA is filed under the name Zostera marina. Its description in RNAcentral is "long non-coding RNA (ZMAR_LNC004083)". Lineage: Eukaryota; Viridiplantae; Streptophyta; Magnoliopsida; Alismatales; Zosteraceae. The record is from RNAcentral.